AGCUGGGCUGCUUGGGUAGUUUCCUGAGAGCAUCGCUUUGAGGAAGCUGACUGAGAACAAAUGCUGCUUUCAGCAAAGCCUGGAGACCCACAGCUCAGCCGUUCCAGCUGCAGGAUAUUACUGGUGAUCACUGGUGUCUUCUUUGGG
Molecule: long non-coding RNA, 147 nt
Organism: Nothoprocta perdicaria
Lineage: Eukaryota; Metazoa; Chordata; Aves; Tinamiformes; Tinamidae
Exons: 2
Source: RefSeq, a predicted model, not a curated record